AUUGAACGCUGGCGGCAGGCCUAACACAUGCAAGUCGAACGGUAACAGGAAACAGCUUGCUGUUUCGCUGACGAGUGGCGGACGGGUGAGUAAUGUCUGGGAAACUGCCUGAUGGAGGGGGAUAACUACUGGAAACGGUAGCUAAUACCGCAUAACGUCGCAAGACCAAAGAGGGGGACCUUCCGGCCUCUUGCCAUCGGAUGUGCCCAGAUGGGAUUAGCUAGUAGGUGGGGUAACGGCUCACCUAGGCGACGAUCCCUAGCUGGUCUGAGAGGAUGACCAGCCACACUGGAACUGGGACACGGUCCAGACUCCUACGGGAGGCAGCAGUGGGGAAUAUUGCACAAUGGGCGCAAGCCUGAUGCAGCCAUGUCGCGUGUAUGAAGAAGGCCUUCGGGUUGUAAAGUACUUUCAGCGGGGAGGAAGGGAGUAAAGUUAAUACCUUUGCUCAUUGACGUUACCCGCAGAAGAAGCACCGGCUAACUCCGUGCCAGCAGCCGCCGUAA
This 506-nucleotide ribosomal RNA is filed under the name uncultured bacterium. RNAcentral describes it as "partial 16S ribosomal RNA". It matches the Rfam family "Bacterial small subunit ribosomal RNA", at positions 30 to 523 of the family's 1533-position model. The record is from RNAcentral.